GUGUUGUAUUUAAACGUCAACAAUUCAUGCGGAUGAACGACACACAUCACCGACAGUAGCGCCACAGGCUGAAACCCGAUCUUGUCAGAUCUCAGAAGCUCGGCGAGGCUGCGUCCAGCCAGUACUGGAAUGGGAGAGCUCCCAGGAAAAAACAGGGAGUGUUGAUGCAGCAAAGUCAGGCAAAUCCUAGAGGAAAACCUGCUCCAGACCUAAAACCGGGACAAGAAUUCACCUGCCAGCAGGAUGGUACCCCUGCAGCACAGUAUCUCUGGACAACACACUGGGAAACGGAAAUUCUGGUCCAUAGGAAGCCUCCGCCCUUGAAGUGAUAGAAGCACCUUCAGUCAGAAGAGAAUCUGAUCAUCUCGACAGAUCGAUGGAAGAGACUCAGUUGAAGUCUGCAGGGAUCUGGGCAGGACAGGAUAACCCCUGGAGCUCUCGCACACCACACCUAGCUCAACGGUGCACGGCGCAGAGCGAACAUUCUAACAAUGUCAGCAUCAGCCCAGAAGAAUGCGAUGAAACACUUGAUAAAGCCCCUGUGUGUCACAAUGGGCGCAGGGAACACAGCAGGCUGCAUGUCGUCCUGCUUCCUUCUGUACAUUUUGCAUCACGGAGCUCCGUCGCCUUGUGUACUUUCAGGGCUGCGUGUCGGCCUAUUUAGGUCACCUGCACUUGACCCACUGAGGAAUCUGGGGUAUGAGGAGACGCCUGAUCAGCAGCACAUAGCUGACAAACCUCAUCUCACGCUGUGAUCAGAAUGCAGGAAUAGUUACACGUGAGAUUUAACCCAUCUAACCAGUGCGGUAGUUAAUAGGUCAUUGACUAAAUCAGAAUGAGAAAAGAUCUCAUCCAGAUGUUUAUUGAAAGACGCCAGGGCGCCAGCUUCAGGAACAUGGCGGCUGAGAAGCUUGUUCCAGACUCCCACCGCACUUUGUGUCAAUAAGUGCCUCCUGUUCUUAGUUUUAAAAGCACUUCCACGCAGUUUCCCCAUAUGUCCUCUGGUGUGUGUUUCACUGUAAGUUCUGAAGGUCCUACUGAGGCUGUAGUUAGUCCGAACGUAGCGCAGUGUGAAGUCAAUGUCUCUACAAAAACACUGCCAUCGAUACACCCUGCAGGGGGACUUCAGUUGUAGCCUUUCCAGUCUUCUGCAAUGGAAUAUUACUCAACCACCACAUCUCAUUUCACAACAAAAACAUGUGAUGGAGUAGUGUUUCAGCUUUGCGGUACAGCAAAGUAAACCACAAUCAGCUGAGUGAAGGCUGUGUGGAGGGAGGUAAACAGAUAAUAUAUUGUCUGGAUGCUGGGGAGACAAGCCAUGUAGAGACUUGAAUGUAAGCAGAAGUCAAUUUUAUAAUUAACUCAAAACCUGACGGGAAGCAUGUGCGAGGACUCCAGGUCAGGAGUGAAGUGCCCACUCGUUGUGUGUUCUGA
Long non-coding RNA from Lepisosteus oculatus (spotted gar), 1434 nucleotides. RefSeq lists it as uncharacterized. Lineage: Eukaryota; Metazoa; Chordata; Actinopteri; Semionotiformes; Lepisosteidae. The record is from RefSeq and is a predicted model, not a curated record.